CAGUAGCCACGGUAAUACGGAGGGUGCAAGCGUUAAUCGGAAUUACUGGGCGUAAAGCGCACGCAGGCGGUUUGUUAAGUCAGAUGUGAAAUCCCCGAGCUUAACUUGGGAACUGCAUUUGAAACUGGCAAGCUAGAGUCUUGUAGAGGGGGGUAGAAUUCCAGGUGUAGCGGUGAAAUGCGUAGAGAUCUGGAGGAAUACCGGUGGCGAAGGCGGCCCCCUGGACAAAGACUGACGCUCAGGUGCGAAAGCGCGGGGAGCAAACAGGAUUAGAUACCCGUGUAGUCCCUGUCUCUUAUAC
Molecule: ribosomal RNA, 301 nt
Filed under: uncultured bacterium
Lineage: Bacteria
Description: partial 16S ribosomal RNA
Rfam family: Bacterial small subunit ribosomal RNA
Source: RNAcentral